AUUGAACGCUGGCGGCAGGCCUAACACAUGCAAGUCGAACGGUAACAGGAAGAAGCUUGCUUCUUUGCUGACGAGUGGCGGACGGGUGAGUAAUGUCUGGGAAACUGCCUGAUGGAGGGGGAUAACUACUGGAAACGGUAGCUAAUACCGCAUAACGUCGCAAGACCAAAGAGGGGGACCUUCGGGCCUCUUGCCAUCGGAUGUGCCCAGAUGGGAUUAGCUAGUAGGUGGGGUAACGGCUCACCUAGGCGACGAUCCCUAGCUGGUCUGAGAGGAUGACCAGGCACACUGGGACUUAGAAACGGUCCCGACUCCUACGGGAGGCCGCAGUGGGGAAUAUUGCACCAUUGGGGCAAACCUUAUGCAGGCAAGGCGGGUGUAUGAAGAAGGGCCUUGGGGUUGAAAGGUCCUUUAGCGGGGAGGAAGGGAGUAAAGUUAAUACCUUUGCUCAUUGACGUUACCCGCAGAAGAAGCACCGGCUAACUCCGUG
This 490-nucleotide ribosomal RNA is filed under the name uncultured bacterium. Its description in RNAcentral is "partial 16S ribosomal RNA". It matches the Rfam family "Bacterial small subunit ribosomal RNA", at positions 30 to 507 of the family's 1533-position model. The record is from RNAcentral.